ACGGGAGGCAGCAGUGGGAAUAUUGCACAAUGGGGGAAACCCUGAUGCAGCGACGCCGCGUGAGCGAUGAAGUGUUUCGGUAUGUAAAGCUCUAUCAGCAGGGAAGAUAAUGACGGUACCUGACUAAGAAGCCCCGGCUAACUACGUGCCAGCAGCCGCGGUAAUACGUAGGGGGCAGGCGUUAUCCGGAUUUACUGGGUGUAAAGGGAGCGCAGGCGGUUUUUUAAGUCUGAUGUGAAAGCCCGCGGCUCAACUGCGGGACUGCAUUGGAAACUGGAGAACUAGAGUGUCGGAGGGGCAAGUGGAAUUCCUAGUGUAGCGGUGAAAUGCGUAGAUAUUAGGAGGAACACCAGUGGCGAAGGCGGCUUACUGGACUGUAACUGACGUUGAGGCUCGAAAGCGUGGGGAGCAAACAGGAUUAGAUACCCUGGUA
This 433-nucleotide ribosomal RNA is filed under the name uncultured Clostridium sp. RNAcentral describes it as "partial 16S ribosomal RNA". It matches the Rfam family "Bacterial small subunit ribosomal RNA", at positions 341 to 792 of the family's 1533-position model. Lineage: Bacteria; Bacillati; Bacillota; Clostridia; Eubacteriales; Clostridiaceae. The record is from RNAcentral.